RNAcentral lists this microRNA precursor (62 nucleotides) under Octopus vulgaris (common octopus). Its description in RNAcentral is "Ovu-Mir-12533_pre stem-loop". Lineage: Eukaryota; Metazoa; Mollusca; Cephalopoda; Octopoda; Octopodidae. RNAcentral also lists the same sequence under 1 other name. The record is from RNAcentral.
CUUUUCCAUUCUUCUGCGGUAAUUCAACGCCAUGUCAGUGUAGCCCAGAUGAAUGGAAAGUC